UUUUCUGUUACUGUGUAUGUUUGCUGAGGAUGAUGGCUUCCAGCUCCAUCCAUGUCCCUGCAAAGGACGUGAUCUUAUUCCUUUUUAUGGCUGCAUAGUAUUCCAUGGUAUCCGAAAUGGUCUAGGAGCCAGACUCUGGAGUACACUCUGCUGUUGGGUUAUCAGGGUCUUGCUUUGACACAGCGUAUUGUAAAAAAGUGAGAAGAGUCUUUUGAAUUCUUCUUUCAAGUGCUUGUCCAGAUGAGAAAAUUUGAAGAUCAUUUGGACCUGGAUGUAUUGCAGAGCUGAAAAGUUUGGAGCCAACUCUGAAGAAUUCACCGUGUUCACUAUGGAGUGGGGAGUGGAGUUUUAGAAAGAGACAAUCAUACCUGAAGGAAUUCUCUAUUGUGAUCCAAAUAAAUCAUGGGAGAUUUCUAAGUUUUGAAUAGCACAGUGUUUCAACAUCCUCCAAGGAAAUUACAAGAAGAAUAAGGAAUAAUGUAAAUGGUUGGCCAUUCGAUGCUUCUCUAGAUACCAAUAGUUUCAUUAUACUAGCUUAAGCACUUUAAAAAGAGAAAAUCAAAGUAAAGUCUUAUUUUCCACUCACUGCUUUUUUGGGGAGACAAUUGUCAUUUCUUAAGUAUUUUUGCAUUUCAUGCUGAAGAGGAGAUCUGAUAAAUCACUUAUUCACUUACAGAAGGGCACGUCCUCUGGGUGGUUUUUCCAGUCAUGCGCAUAGAUUUCUACUGAUCCAUGCACCCUUUUGCCCUGUUCCCAUUAUGAAACAAUGGCUUUUAUUUGUUAUGUGACUGACCAGGGAUGGGGUACAUUCUGCAACUACAGAACAAAAUGAAGUCAUUGGCCUAAACAUGGACUAAACCUUUAACCCUGACCUCAUUAGUAGUUUGACUAAUGUGGGAAACUACCAGAAGCUUACAUUUAGAAUUCUCCCAAAUCACAUGAUAUGGCAGAUAACAUGAUUUAAACAUCAUCAUGAUUAAAAUGACUGUUUGUGAAAUAAAACAUUGGAAAACAGUCUAUUAUUAAUUCAGUAUUGAUGACUUUCUACCUUUUGAAGUCCAUAAAUUAUUUAAUUAACUAUUCUAUUAACAACAGCAGCAGCAACAACUAUAGCUAACAUUUAUUGAGGGUUUUUAUUUGCAAGUUUUAUUGGCUAAAUUAUGUCUCUUCUGCCAAUUAAUAUAUUGAAGUCUAAACCCCAGUAACUCAGAAUGUGACUGUAAUUGGAGAUAGAGUCCUUAAAGAGGCAAAGUUAAAUGAAAUCAUUAGGGUGGGCUCUAAUUAAAUAUGACUGAUAUCGUUAUGAGAAAAGGAGGUUAAAACGCAGAUACACAUGCACACAGGGAAGACGAUGUGAGGACACCAGGAGAAGAUGGCCAUCUAUAAGCCAGGGAGAGAAACCUCAGAAGGAACCAGAACCGUUAACACCCUGAUCUCGGAUUCUAGCUUCCAGAAUUGAAAACAUAAAUUUCUGUUUUUUAAGCCACCCGGUCUGUGAUAUUUUAUUAUGGCAGCUCUAGCAAACUAAUCCAGCCAGGCAUGUGCUAAUUGUCUUACAUUCAUUAUCUUCCUUGCUUUUCAUAAUAACCUAUGGAAUGCAUACUAUCAUAAUCUCACCUUUGUAAAUGAGGAAUCAUAGGUGUAGACAAUUUUUAAGGGCUAGUGAAUGAGAAGGCCAGAGUGAGAACCACUGCAGAGAGAAGUCAGCAUCCACAGACUUAGCCAUGCUGACAUACCGCCCCACUGCUGCCUUCUCUCAUGUACUAAAAAAAUGACCCCACACUGUUAGGGAGGGACAGUUACUGUUCUAGUUCUCAUUUUGCAGAUGAAGAAUUUGAGACUCAGAGGUGUCUAGUUUAAAAUCACUCUGCUUUCAGGUAGCUGAGCCAGAAUCCCAAGUGUUUGACCUCACAGUCAUGCAUGUUAACCGUCCAACUGUCCUGCUUUUGCAUCUUUUUGUAUGGAGGAAAGGAACUAUCUCUUAAUUUAGUUUUGGAGUUUUCGAUCCUGGAAUCAUGCUUGAAUAAAAUUGAAACUUUGUUCUGCCUAUUUUAAUGCAGAAUUUGAAAUUUUGAAAAGUGUAUUCAUUAUUACUUAGAACUAUGGGGAAGUAAAAAAACUCAAAGGAAAUCACAAACAGCAAAGUCACUUCCUUUUGAUAAAAGUAAGAGUUUAUGGCAUUGACCAGUAAUUUUAUAUUUUACUAAUACAAAAGGAUAAAACAAGUUUAUGGUAGAACAUAAUGAUUUUACUUGAGCUAUUUGGUUAAUUUGUCUUCUGCCUGUUUAGGCUCCUAUUUCUUAUGUCCACAUAAAGGCAAAAACAUUUUCUUUUAACUUACUGAAUAGAUGCUUUAUGAAAAUGACUGAAUAAAGUAGGAUUAGGAAAGCAACCAGAAAGCAAUUUUAAUUUAGCUGAAGAAACAUGAAAUGGGGAGUAAUACUCAAAUAACCUAAAAGCAAUUCUGUUAGAUCAUUAGGUGGCCCAUUUAAACUCAGCACAUUUAUGCAGCAUAUCCUUAAAAGUAUCAUCUUUUUAAACCAUUUGGUCAUAAUGUAAAGCUCAUUAUCAUAAACCACAGCAAUUCAUGAAAAUUCCAAAGCAGAUGUAGAAAGAUAAAUAUGGAUGGAAAUAUUUCCAGUUAUCUGAAAUUCGCUUUUCUAGUAAAAUCCAUUUGUCAGAACUUAUCUGCAAAGCACAAGGCUUGUAAAUACCGGCCUUAUUCUUCAAAAAGAAAUUUCACAGUGUUUACAUGUUAAAAUUUUUGUGCUCAUAGAACAGGUACACCAAGUCCUUGGCCAGAGCACAUUUCCUCCUAGCACAUCUAACACAAUUAUUUAUUGCUUUCUUCAGCUCACCACUCAUUAAAAGCAACAAAUUAAUAGAGAAGGCUUGUGCUGUAACUAAAAGCAAAUAUAUUGCUAGCAACAAACAGAACUUCCACAUAGGAGGAGAUAGAAGUAAAUCUUAAAGUAUAAUUUAAUGUCAAACAGUAGGGAUGUAGCAGUCUAGAAAGCAGUGGCUUUUGUAGACAAAUAGUUCCAUAUAUAAAAUCUCCAUCUACCACCCAUUUAUUAGCUAUGUAAUCCUUGGCAAGUUGUUUAAAAUCUCAGAGUGUCUGUUUCAUUGUUUGUAAAAUGAAAAUAAUACAAUAUAACUGGCCAAAUCGUUGUAGGAAUUAAAUGAAAUUAUUGUGCAAAUGGCCUGGUCAAUUUUUGUUUCAUUCUCAGGCCCCAAAUUCUCCAUGAACACUCAUAACUAAUUGGACCCUUAAGUACUUUGGGCUCAUAAUAAUAAUUGAUUCUGGAUCAUUAUGAAAAAUAUUUAAGCUAUGUCCAACAUACUCUACUUAAGAAUUUAUGCCAAUAUAUAAUUCAUGUUAGAAAAACAUCAGAAUGAUUAUUAAGUCAUCCCUGAAUGGGUUACCUAGUUCAUUUUUAUUUUUAUUAUUUUGCUCUUGGCCCCACCAUCUGGGGACCUGUGCUCCACAGUGACUUCCUUCCAGGACCUAUUACAGAGCAGCCCAUGUCUUAAAUGUUGCCAAGCCACCAUCACUAGGGAAAUGAAAGCUCUGGAAAGUCUUCACCAGCAAUUAAGUGCUCUAGCCCUGAAGUGACACAUCACUUCUACUCAUGAAUACACCAUGGUCACAUGGCCUCAUCCAACCACAGGGGUCAGGAGGUCCAAUCCUACCAUAAGCCUAAUAUGUGGAAGACUGGAACUAUUUGGGGAACAGCCCUAGUGACUUACCUCAAAAGAGACUGAUGUAUAAGCCAAGUAGCCAAUGUACUUAUUUAUAAGGAGAAAAUUCAGGAUGGAUCAGACUGGACACUAACAUUCACUUAUUAAAAAAUUGUUUCCUUUACCAUCUAAUUAAAGUAGGGAAUAUUUAUUACUAGGGACUGCUGGAGUUGGCUUUUCAGGGAACACUCUUACUGCUGUCAGAGCUCAGAAGUUGGAAAGUUGCUUGGUAGGUGCAGGAUCAGAUCACAGGGAAUUGGAUAAUUUAGGGGAAUGGUUCAUCCAUAUUUUGGUAAAGGUUAGUGAACUUUGCCCCACAACAGACAACAAUUUGGAGUGUAAUUCCAGAUUCAAAGUCUCUCUUUUGCAGUUGUGGUGAAUAAUUAUUGGCAAAUUUUAUAUCCCAACUUCUGUUUUACCCUCUUCAACCUGCCUCAUCUUUGUUAGACAGAUUUCCCUCAAGUUCAUUAAUGCCUUUAAUGAGGCCCAAUUCAAGCCCUGAUAUUUCUGCUUUCAUAUUUUUGUUUGUUGGUUGUUUUGUUUUGGCCAAGGUAUAUUUUUUUGAAAAGUGGCUUCUGUAU
This is a long non-coding RNA of Pongo pygmaeus (Bornean orangutan), 4322 nucleotides long. RefSeq lists it as uncharacterized. The record is from RefSeq and is a predicted model, not a curated record. The transcript is spliced from 5 exons. Lineage: Eukaryota; Metazoa; Chordata; Mammalia; Primates; Hominidae.